RNAcentral lists this ribosomal RNA (435 nucleotides) under uncultured bacterium. Its description in RNAcentral is "partial 16S ribosomal RNA". It matches the Rfam family "Bacterial small subunit ribosomal RNA", at positions 28 to 507 of the family's 1533-position model. The record is from RNAcentral.
GAUGAACGCUGGCGGUAUGCUUAACACAUGCAAGUCGAACGGACUCUUCGGAGUUAGUGGCGGACGGGUGAGUAACGCGUGAGAAUCUGGCUUUGGGUUCGGGACAACCACUGGAAACGGUGGCUAAUACCGGAUGUGCCGAGAGGUAAAAGAGAAAUUGCCUGAAGAUGAGCUCGCGUCUGAUUAGCUAGUUGGUGAGGUAAAGGCUCACCAAGGCAGCGAUCAGUAGCUGGUCUGAGAGGAUGACCAGCCACACUGGGACUGAGACACGGCCCAGACUCCUACGGGAGGCAGCAGUGGGGAAUUUUCCGCAAGGGGCGAAAGCCUGACGGAGCAAUACCGCGUGAGGGAAGAAGGCUCUUGGGUUGUAAACCUCUUUUCUUAGGGAAGAACAAAAUGACGGUACCUAAGGAAUCAGCAUCGGCUAACUCCGUG